UCGAUUGAGUUUGAUCCUGGCUCAGGACGAACGCUGGCGGCGUGCUUAACACAUGCAAGUGGAGCGACGAACCAGGCUUCGGCCUGGGGCGAAGCCGCGAACGGGUGAGUAACACGUGGGUAACCUGCCCUGAUGAUCGGGACAACCCGGGGAAACCCGGGCUAAUACCGAAUGUGCCCGCGAGCCACAAGGCUCGCGCGGAAAGGAAGCUUUGGCCUCCGCAUCGGGAUGGGCCCGCGGCCCAUUAGCUUGUUGGUGGGGUAAUGGCCUACCAAGGCAGCAAUGGGUAGCUGGUCUGAGAGGACGAUCAGCCACACUGGGACUGAGACACGGCCCAGACUCCUACGGGAGGCAGCAGUGGGGAAUCUUGCGCAAUGCACGAAAGCGUGACGCAGCAACGCCGCGUGGGGGAAGACGGCCUUCGGGUUGUAAACCCCUUUCAGUUGGGACGAAGCCUCGUCGGUGAAUAGCCGGCUGGAGUGACGGUACCUUCAGAAGAAGCCCCGGCUAACUACGUGCCAGCAGCCGCGGAAAUACGUAGGGGGCAAGCGUUGACCGGAAUCAUUGGGCGUAAAGAGCGUGUAGGCGGCCCGAUAAGUCCGCCGUGAAAGUCCAGGGCUCAACCCUGGAAUGCCGGUGGAUACUGUCGGGCUAGAGUCCGGAAGGGGCGAGUGGAAUUCCUGGUGUAGCGGUGAAAUG
Molecule: ribosomal RNA, 699 nt
Filed under: uncultured bacterium
Lineage: Bacteria
Description: bacterial SSU rRNA
Rfam family: Bacterial small subunit ribosomal RNA
Source: RNAcentral